GAUGAACGCUGGCGGCGUGCCUAAUACAUGCAAGUCGAGCGAACAGAUAAGGAGCUUGCUCCUUUGACGUUAGCGGCGGACGGGUGAGUUACACGUGGAUAACCUACCUAUAAGACUGGGAUAACUUCGGGAAACCGGAGCUAAUACCGGAUAACAUAUUGAACCGCAUGGUUCAAUAGUGAAAGGCGGCUUUGCUGUCACUUAUAGAUGGAUCCGCGCCGUAUUAGCUAGUUGGUAAGGUAACGGCUUACCAAGGCAACGAUACGUAGCCGACCUGAGAGGGUGAUCGGCCACACUGGAACUGAGACACGGUCCAGACUCCUACGGGAGGCAGCAGUAGGGAAUCUUCCGCAAUGGGCGAAAGCCUGACGGAGCAACGCCGCGUGAGUGAUGAAGGUCUUCGGAUCGUAAAACUCUGUUAUCAGGGAAGAACAAAUGUGUAAGUAACUGUGCACAUCAUGACGGUACCUGAUCAGAAAGCCACGGCUAACUACGUG
Molecule: ribosomal RNA, 497 nt
Filed under: uncultured bacterium
Lineage: Bacteria
Description: partial 16S ribosomal RNA
Rfam family: Bacterial small subunit ribosomal RNA
Source: RNAcentral